RNAcentral lists this transfer RNA (65 nucleotides) under Xenagama taylori. RNAcentral describes it as "tRNA-Lys". The record is from RNAcentral. Lineage: Eukaryota; Metazoa; Chordata; Lepidosauria; Squamata; Agamidae.
CACUAGGAAGCUUGCUAAGCACUAGCCUUUUAAGCUAAAGAAGAGACCUUAAGACUCCCCAGUGA